CAUGUCCUUCUUUUUUCCACCGGGAACAAUCAUAACACAGCUAGUAGGUCUCUUGGUGUUUGAUGCUUCACCAAGCAACUCUUUGGAAACAGUAUAUAAGUAAGGGACAUUAUUGUCUUCACAUAAUACUGGAAUAUGAGAUAUAACAUCCAUGGGAGAAAUAUCACCAGCAAGAAUUACAAGACCCUUCUCUCCUUUUCUAACAGCCUUU
Molecule: non-coding RNA, 211 nt
Organism: Schizosaccharomyces pombe (fission yeast)
Lineage: Eukaryota; Fungi; Ascomycota; Schizosaccharomycetes; Schizosaccharomycetales; Schizosaccharomycetaceae
Source: the annotation of a GenBank genome assembly